CAGGCUUAACACAUGCAAGUCGAACGAGAAGGUACUUUCGGGUACUGGACAGUGGCGCACGGGUGAGUAACGCGUGGGAAUCUACCAUGGAGUGGGGGAUAACAUUUGGAAACGAAUGCUAAUACCGCAUACGCCCUACGGGGGAAAGAUUUAUUGCUCUAUGAUGAGCCCGCGUUAGAUUAGGUAGUUGGCAGGGUAAUGGCCUACCAAGCCGACGAUCUAUAGCUGGUCUGAGAGGAUGAUCAGCCACACUGGGACUGAGACACGGCCCAGACUCCUACGGGAGGCAGCAGUGGGGAAUAUUGGACAAUGGGCGCAAGCCUGAUCCAGCCAUGCCGCGUGAGUGAAGAAGGCCUUAGGGUUGUAAAACUCUUUCAACUGUGAGGAUGAUGACAGUAGCAGUAGAAGAAGCACCGGCUAA
This 421-nucleotide ribosomal RNA is filed under the name alpha proteobacterium 'Egg clone D40'. RNAcentral describes it as "bacterial SSU rRNA". It matches the Rfam family "Bacterial small subunit ribosomal RNA", at positions 43 to 500 of the family's 1533-position model. The record is from RNAcentral. Lineage: Bacteria; Pseudomonadati; Pseudomonadota; Alphaproteobacteria.